UACGUAGGAGACGAGCGUUUGUCCGGAAUUACUGGGCGUAAAGCGCGUGUAGGCGGAUGGGCAAGUCUGCUGUGAAAGCUCCUGGCUUAACCGGGAGUGGUCGGUGGAAACUGCCAAUCUGGAGGACGGUAGAGGUAGGUAGAAUUCCCGGUGUAGUGGUGAAAUGCGUAGAGAUCAGCAGGAAUACCCGUGGCGAAGGCGGCCCCCUGGGCCGUACCUGACGCUGAGGCGCGAAGGCUAGGGGGAGCGAACGGG
RNAcentral lists this ribosomal RNA (255 nucleotides) under uncultured bacterium. RNAcentral's name for it is "partial 16S ribosomal RNA". It matches the Rfam family "Bacterial small subunit ribosomal RNA", at positions 524 to 776 of the family's 1533-position model. The record is from RNAcentral.